Molecule: long non-coding RNA, 528 nt
Organism: Xiphophorus hellerii (green swordtail)
Lineage: Eukaryota; Metazoa; Chordata; Actinopteri; Cyprinodontiformes; Poeciliidae
Exons: 2
Source: RefSeq, a predicted model, not a curated record
UAUAAAACCACAUUCUUACACUUUACAUGUGUAGAUUAAAUCUAAAGAGCCACAAUAGGAAGACCAUUUUUGCUGAUUUAUCAGACAUUAAAUUGUUUCUUCUAAAAAGAAAGAUUCUUAGAUAAUAGUUUUCUGUGUUCUCAUUUAUUAAAUUUUUUGUACUCUUCUUUUUUUGAAAAGGAGAUUCAAAUACAAAAAACACAGGCCGCAGCGAAGCAGAAUGUCAUCCAACAGAGGAGCAUUUCUAUGAAGAAGUGACAGAGCAUAAGAAGACACUGGUGAUUCCUACCUAUGCCAACACUCCUACAAAUGAGCCAGCCCUGCUGCCGUACUCUAUUGUCAGCUUUCAAAGGACUUAAGAGAAUAACGCUGACACAGAAGUUCUGCCCCUUUAACCCACCUCUACUUUGUGCAGCUGAAGCUCAAUCUUCCCAACUGAUCAGCCAUCCAGAUCUACAGACCAACCCCUUUACUCAGCAGUUACGAAGACAAAUGCAAAAUGAAAAAAAAAAAUAUAUAUAUAUAUAU